UCCGGUUUGUCACCGGCAGUCUCGCAUGAGUCCCCGGCCGAACCGCUGGCAACAUGCGACGAGGGUUGCGCUCGUUGCGGGACUUAACCCAACAUCUCACGACACGAGCUGACGACAGCCAUGCAGCACCUGUGCAUGGAUCCCGAAGGAGGCCCCUCGUUUCUGAGGGGUUUCCCAUGCAUGUCAAGCCUAGGUAAGGUUCUUCGCGUUGCGUCGAAUUAAACCACAUGCUCCACCGCUUGUGCGGGCCCCCGUCAAUUCCUUUGAGUUUCAGCCUUGCGGCCGUACUCCCCAGGCGGGGUGCUUAAUGUGUUGACUUCGGCACAGCAGGGGUCGAUACCCGCUACACCAAGCACUCAUCGUUUACGGCGUGGACUAC
This 379-nucleotide unclassified non-coding RNA is filed under the name uncultured bacterium. RNAcentral's name for it is "contains 16S-23S intergenic spacer region". The record is from RNAcentral.